GUGGUCAUUCAGACUAAGCUCCAUGGGGCAACUGCAAUUAAGGCUAUAAGGUAUAGGAUGAUACCAAUCCCAGUGUUUCCUACACCAACAUGGUGCACAAUAAAAGAUAGGGAAAGAGCAUCAGCCACUUUAAUAUUAUUGGCAAAGUGAAUAUAGUAUAGAAAAAUUACUUAUUCAUACAGAAUUUUCAAGUAAUAGAAGGCCUCGACUCUCCAGCUAAAAGCAGGGCAACAUGUGAAUUACUG
RNAcentral lists this unclassified non-coding RNA (245 nucleotides) under Hevea brasiliensis (rubber tree). Lineage: Eukaryota; Viridiplantae; Streptophyta; Magnoliopsida; Malpighiales; Euphorbiaceae. The record is from RNAcentral.